GAUGAACGCUAGCGGCAGGCCUAAUACAUGCAAGUCGGACGGGAUUUGGGAGCUUGCUCCUAAUGAGAGUGGCGCACGGGUGCGAAACACGUAUGUAACCUACCUUAAUCAGGGGGAUAGCCUCUCGAAAGAGAGAUUAACACCGCAUAAUAUAUUUUUAUGGCAUCGUAGAAAUAUCAAAUAUUUAUAGGAUUAAGAUGGGCAUGCGGAACAUUAGCUAGUUGGUAAGGUAACGGCUUACCAAGGCUACGAUGUUUAGGGGAUCUGAGAGGAUGACCCCCCACACUGGUACUGAGACACGGACCAGACUCCUACGGGAGGCAGCAGUAAGGAAUAUUGGUCAAUGGGCGCAAGCCUGAACCAGCCAUGCCGCGUGCAGGAAGACGGCCCUAUGGGUUGUAAACUGCUUUUGUACCGGAAUAAACCCUUUUACGUGUAAAAGGCUGAAUGUACGGUAAGAAUAAGGAUCGGCUAACUCCGUGCCAGCAGCCGCCGUAA
This 498-nucleotide ribosomal RNA is filed under the name uncultured bacterium. RNAcentral describes it as "partial 16S ribosomal RNA". It matches the Rfam family "Bacterial small subunit ribosomal RNA", at positions 28 to 523 of the family's 1533-position model. The record is from RNAcentral.